Long non-coding RNA from Eleginops maclovinus (Patagonian blennie), 539 nucleotides. RefSeq lists it as uncharacterized. The record is from RefSeq and is a predicted model, not a curated record. NCBI's taxonomy places the organism in Eukaryota, Metazoa, Chordata, Actinopteri, Perciformes, Eleginopidae. The transcript is spliced from 3 exons.
GCAAACACCUGCUGCUGCUCAGGUAGCAUUUCUGCCUUAGCUAGCUCACCUGGCAGGACUAUCACAGAGUUAGGAUGGGUUUGUGGAACAAUAACCACAGGAGAUAGUGGAUUCUUCUCUCCACAAAGAGCCAUCAAUUUGUGUCAUACUGUGGCUGUCAGGAUAUCAAGGCUCUGACAGAGCUGACAAGAAAUGCCGUUUAUUGGAAGUAAUCCGCGGGAUGGCGGAGGAGUUGGGUUCCUGCUGUGGACUGUGUGAGACAGAUAUGGACUGAGAGGGAACAUCACAAGUCCCUGAGCUGGAGUUUCUCUGUCAGCCAGUGAUCCCCGCGGCUCGCCCAGGGGCCUGUUGGCAAAGAAAACUCCCCGAGCUUUCCACCUGCAAUGUCACGUUGAUUACACAGUAAGAAGAGCAGAGAAGAAGUUACUGAUCGUGUUUGUUCCCUCUCUGUUUCACUUUCUGUCCCUUUUCAUUUAUAUAUACAGUAUAUAAUUGUUCUCUUUUAACAAACAAAACGUAUGGACAGUACAAAUCACACA